CUGCUGCCUCCCGUAGGAGUCUGGUCCGUGUCUCAGUACCAGUGUGGGGGACCUUCCUCUCAGAACCCCUACGCAUCGUCGGUUAGGUGGGCCGUUACCCCGCCUACUGCCUAAUGCGCCGCAUGCCCAUCCCUGUCCGGCCGAAGCCUUUCCUGCCUCCGGGAUGCCCCGGUGGCAUGUACGCGGGUUUAGCCCGCCUUUCGGCGGGUUGUCCCCCUGACAGGGGCAGGCUGCAUACGUGUUACUCACCCGUGCGCCGGUCGCCGGCGGAG
RNAcentral lists this ribosomal RNA (272 nucleotides) under uncultured bacterium. RNAcentral describes it as "partial 16S ribosomal RNA". The record is from RNAcentral.